This is a long non-coding RNA of Mytilus californianus (California mussel), 457 nucleotides long. RefSeq lists it as uncharacterized. The record is from RefSeq and is a predicted model, not a curated record. The transcript has 2 exons. Lineage: Eukaryota; Metazoa; Mollusca; Bivalvia; Mytilida; Mytilidae.
CAUUCAUAAAAUAUAAAUACAUUUAUAUUUUUCUAAUUGUAGAAGAAAUUGUGUAUGUGAAUGUUGUUCUCUUUGGAUUGUGCAUUUUAUUUGCUAUUCUGACAAUCUUAAGAAAACGCUUCACUUUAUAUGUGUGCGUCCACUAGCCAACAAAAAAUUUCGAAGGUAUGACAUCAAUGAAAAUCCAAUGGUACAAACAGAUGGCAAUAGUGAAAGGAAUCAUGGAGUGUCGCAAAAUAAAACUAAUUUGUUCGUGACAGAUAUAAUAAGCCUUGGGAACAGCACAAUAGUAUUGUUCAUAAAGGAUAUCAUAAAUAUUGAAAAGGAGGAAACCAAAAUUUGAACUUUUUAUAUAGAUGAAAGUACUUGUAUUUUAUAUUUAUUAUUAUUAUCACAAUUAUUAUUAUCAUUAUUAUUAUUGUAACUAUUUUCAUUAUUAUUAUUAUUAGUACUAGUA